This is a non-coding RNA of Punica granatum (pomegranate), 2199 nucleotides long. NCBI's taxonomy places the organism in Eukaryota, Viridiplantae, Streptophyta, Magnoliopsida, Myrtales, Lythraceae. The record is from RefSeq and is a predicted model, not a curated record.
ACUAUCUCUCCUCUCUCUACUAUCUCUCCUCUCUCUACAUCUCCUUCUCUCCAUUCUCUCCCUUCCCUUUUUCUCUGCACUCGAUUCCUUUGCUUUUUCUAUUCUCUCCUAGGGUUUUGAUUAUUUUUGGUGGUUCUUAUCUUCCACUAAUGAAACGCAUAAAAUAAUAACCAAGAUUGAUCACUUCUCAUAUAUUUUUACAAAUAAAUCGAUAUUUUCUCAUUCUUUAUCUGUCUGUUGCUUUACUUUUGUAGUUGUUCGCGUAUGUGUAUGGCUACAGGAUUAGAUUUAAGCUCAGCAAGUCAAUUAGUCCAUCACCAGCUGCAGCGGAGCGCUCAGGAGCUACACCUCCAACCGAGCUCCGAAGGCAAUCACAGGGAAACCCUAGCCUUGGCGGAGCUCCCGAGCAACCCAGAUGAUCACCAGGCUGGCAACCCUAGUCCGGGAGAUGGGGUUGUUAGGAGGCCGAGGGGCCGCCCGCCUGGCUCUAAGAACAAGCCCAAGCCCCCUGUGGUCGUGAUCCGUGAGAGCGCCAACAUCCUCCAGGCUCACAUCCUUGAGGUGAGUAGUGGGUGCGACGUGUUCGAGUCUGUGGCCGCCUAUGCCCAAAGGCAGCAACGGGGGAUAUGCAUACUCAGUGGGAGCGGCACCGUCACAAAUGUUAGCCUCCGCCAACCAGCAGCAGCCGGGUCGGUGGCGACUCUGCAGGGUCGAUUUGAGAUACUUUCAUUGACAGGGUCGUUCCUGCCACCACCAGCACCACCUGGGGCCACCAGCUUGACCAUAUACCUGACAGGGUCCCAGGGCCAAGUUGUGGGGGGCAACGUCGUUGGUGCACUCAUUGCAUCCGGGCCAGUAAUUGUGAUCGCAUCUUCCUUCACCAACGUGGCGUAUGAGAGGCUGCCGCUCGAUGAGGAUGAGCCACCAGUUGAGAUGCAACAAAGUGGGGGGCAGUUUCCCUCUGAUCCGGCUUCUUCAGGCAGUCUUCCGUUCUUGAGCAUGCCAUUGCAUCAGUUACCCGUGGAUGGAUGGCCUGGGAACUCGACCAGCCGAGGAAGGCAAGGUUAUUGACAUACCUUGAUCCUGAUCGAUCUAUAUGAUAUUCAUCUGGACAGACUGGAAAAGGUAUCUUGUGCAGAGAAACUUUCUGGCAAGAAAACUUUCUACAUAAACCAAGAGCACGGUGAUCUGGAGCUGCAUGGGUUUUCUCCUGAGAAGAAAGGGCUCCUAAUAAAAGGAGUUCUAUAACAGGAUCGUCCUUGAUAUGAGACCAAUAUGUUCUGAGUUCGAUUUUCAUUUAAACAAACUUCCGGCCAUUAUUUCCUCCUUCCUCUUUCUACUUGCGUGAAUCUCCAGUAUAAAGAAUAAAGGUAAGGAUGACCAUUGGGGAAAAAAAGGCUGGUUCGUGGUGUUAGAUCCUCCUUCACUAUGAUCAAUGUGGGACUACAGGUAUCAUGAAAAACCAGCACCACAAUUUCAGUUUUUAAAUUUCAAUAACUUGUUUUCUACCCCCGGUGUGUUUGGUCGGCUCGAUAUGAGAUGGUAUAGAAUUUCUCUAAUCCUUAUCCACCAUUUGAUGAUUUUGCCAGGAUAAAAUAUUUGGGAGGAUUAGAUAAGAUAUUGCUUAGGGAAUAGAUUACAACUGAAUUAGGAUAUUGUAUUGAGCGAAAUGAUAACACUAUUCCUCCCAUUAAAUAUUCAUUUUGGACAUUUUCAACUAAAUAAUUAUUUCCUGAACAUGAAAAUAUUUUUCAGAAAAUUUCUGCUCAUAAAAUGUUCCUAAUAUCUUCAAAAGGGGUGAAAAUAAAAUUUUUCACGAAGUUUCGGCACUGAAGUACGAUUAAAUCAGGCCAAAGUAGUUCAGUUCGAAUUAGUUCAACUCCGUUCCAUCAUUUGGAAAUAUUAAGGAUGGCUGGCGUGGGAGGGAACAACGCCGCAUGGAUGACAUCCAAGCGUCAUCCAAGCGACCGUGGAUAAGACCUUCAAAGUCUUGAGGGACUUAGGGCCAUUUUUUAGAUUUUUUUUUUGUUUCGGGCCUUAAGCUCAAUUUUGUAGGUCCACUUAGCCAAUUGGAUUGUCUUGGCUCAAUGAGGCCCAUUGAAGGCCCAUGGCGAAUGAAUGAAUGUGACAAAGGGGAAUGGAUGAUGUAUUGAUGAAUGGAAUGGAUGAAUGUACAUGUAUAUAUGUAUGGAUGGAUGA